RNAcentral lists this long non-coding RNA (2385 nucleotides) under Homo sapiens (human). RNAcentral's name for it is "PREDICTED lncRNA (TCONS_00142519)". Lineage: Eukaryota; Metazoa; Chordata; Mammalia; Primates; Hominidae. The record is from RNAcentral.
AAAGUGUUAUUUGACUGGAGUGAGGUCUCAUGUCUGCUUAUGCGGUGGCUCGCUGCUCAGAACAGGGAACCAUUGGAGAUACUCAUUACUCUUUGAAGGCUUACAGUGGAAUGAAUUCAAAUACGACUUAUUUGAGGAAUUGAAGUUGACUUUAUGGAGCUGAUAAGAAUCUUCUUGGAGAAAAAAAGACUGGGUAUAUUUUCAAUAUGCUUUCCUUUUAAGGUCCCUCACCUGUGGAAAGUAAAGAAUGUCACUUUCUGACAGGCUCAGGAACCUCAAGUUAUGUAGGGAUCUCAAGAAGAUGGGGGAAUUCACCCAGUUCAUACAGGUGAAAUUGCUGUUGCAAAGAUUAUGAAUAUGAGAGAAGUCCAGCAUGGCUGACUUCAUCUCGUGUCUGGCCUCAGGCUGGCUGCCCUUGCUCACUCUUGGGCAUAGGCCAAGCUAGCCAUGGGAGGAAUUUAGUUUAUAGUUUAACUUUGAAGCACGGAUGAUAAUAGUCUCUCCCUAAAAUGAACCCCUUCCUUGCUCAGGGACUGAAACUACCUUUGUAUGACAAAUGAAAGCCCACAAGAUUAAGAUUAUGAGAGGGGCCUGAAUUCUGCUAAAAUGCAGGUGUAGCUGACUGAUAACAAGUCAUUGUCCCACAGCUUGCCUUUCUAUAAUCUCUUGCUUCUCAGGAGUCACAUGGCCAGAGGUCCUGAGAUUUCCAGUCCUGUGACCCCCACCCAGAGAUGGACUUAGUGCAUGAGGACCAUUUUCCACACCCCUAUGAUUUCAUCCUCAAACAAUCAGCAGCAACCAUUCCCUAGCCCCCUGCCUUCCAAAUUAUCCAUAAAAAUCCUAGCCUCUGAGUUAUUAGGGAGAUUGAUUAAUAAUCCCAGUCCUACCCCUUGGGUUGCUCUGAUUUAAUUAAACCUUCUCUACUGCAAUACCACGGACUCAGUAAAUUGGUUUUGUCUGUGCAAUGGGCAAGAAGAACAUGUUGCAUGGUUAUACAGGUACUACAAGCACAGUCUGAUGGCAAAUUAUUGGUUUUGCUUCCUGCCCUUGAUGUUUCUAAACAUCUAGUCCAAAAUUACUUGUGAAAGGUCCAGCAAAGCCAAUUUUAAAAGAGGCUAUAUGGCCAAUCACUAUUCUUUCUACACAUUAUUGCAAAUAAUCAGGCCACGGCUGGGCACGGUGGCUCAUGCCUGCAAUCCCAGCACUUUGGGAGGCUGAGGCAGGAUCACCUGAAAUCAGGAGUUCAAGACCAGCCUAGGCAACAUGAUAAAACCCUGUCUCUACUAAAAAUACAAAAUUAGCCAGGCAUGGUGGCAUGCACCUGUAAUCCCAGCUACUUGGGAGACUGAGGGAGGAGAAUCACUUGAACCUGGGAGGCAGAGAUUGCAGUGAGCUGAGAUCACACCACUGCACUCCAGCCUGGGCAAUAGAGUGAGACUUUGUCUCAAAUAAUAAUAAUAAUAAUCAGACCAAGUAUAAUGAAAUUAAAAUUUAUUUUGCAAAUAAAUUGGUCCUACUACAAUUUAUCCUUCAUAGAAAUGUGGAAACUGAAGAUAAAAAAAAUUAGGUUUCAGAAGAAAACUAUACUACACCUGUUAUUAGAUUCUAGCCCUAAACAUUGUUUUUGAGGUUUUUAUUAUUUACCUGCAAUUUGGUCUAAAUUCUGAAUUAUUUCCUGACUACAAGUAUCCAAGGAAUAAAUGGGUUUUCUUUUUCUUUAUGAUAGUUUUAGUUGGCUUCUAAUGCAACAACAAUUUUUAUUGUAAUCCUGUGUGCAUUCUAUUCCUACUAUUCAAAUUAUUAAUGUUAUAGAUCUUUCAUUGUAGUACUUCUGAAUUAACCAAAAUCACAGUAUUCUGAAGAUGAUUCUACAAAGCCUGCUGUUUCUACAAAGGCUGCUGAUGAUUUCUACAAAGCCUGCUGUAGUGUUGCUGUGGCCUCUGCUUAAAAAAGUAGAAAACACAUUGAUGCAGCAUGUUCACCCCAACCUCCCUGCCUAAAGGCUCAGGGACCAUCUUGGAAGAGGAAGGCGCGUGAGAUUGUAAGAGCCGAAUUAGGGGGAUGGAGUGUGGAGAAUAAGGACACUUCAUCUUGGAUGCUCACCUGCCAAAUUGACUUCUGAUGAAAGCCAGCUCCAGAAAUGUGCCUACAGUUACUACUUUCACCUAAACCCUGCCCUUAGUCAAAUCCUUCUCUUCUUCUAAGCAAUCAACUUCAAUUCCUUGUAUAACCCACAGUAUAAAAGGGCUUUUAUACCAUUCUAUCCUAUUGCAUGUAAGCCUUGGGUCUGGGAGGUAACAGUGUGGGAUUCCACCAUCUCAUCUCCCUGCCACCCAAACAUGCCUGCUCUUCUUUAAGCAAUAUUAAAUGUUUGUACUUCAGAAA